CCUACGGGGGGCAGCAGUGAGGAAUAUUGGUCAAUGGACGAGAGUCUGAACCAGCCAAGUAGCGUGAAGGAUGACUGCCCUAUGGGUUGUAAACUUCUUUUAUAUGGGAAUAAAAUGUUCCACGUGUGGGAUUUUGUAUGUACCAUAUGAAUAAGGAUCGGCUAACUCCGUGCCAGCAGCCGCGGUACUACGGAGGAUCCGAGCGUUAUCCGGAUUUAUUGGGUUUAAAGGGAGCGUAGGUGGAUUGUUAAGUCAGUUGUGAAAGUUUGCGGCUCAACAGUAAAAUUGCAGUUGAAACUGGCAGUCUGGAGUACAGUAGAGGUGGGCGGAAUUCGUGGUGUAGCGGUGAAAUGCUUAGAUAUCACGAAGAACUCCGAUUGCGAAGGCAGCUCACUGGACUGCAACUGACACUGAGGAUCGAAAGUGUGGGUAUCAAACAGGAUUAGAUACCCUUGUAGUC
Molecule: ribosomal RNA, 460 nt
Filed under: uncultured bacterium
Lineage: Bacteria
Description: partial 16S ribosomal RNA
Rfam family: Bacterial small subunit ribosomal RNA
Source: RNAcentral